GCCCACAUAGCUCAGUCGGUAGAGCACUCCCUUGGUAAGGGAGAGGUCACUGGUUCGAAUCCAAUUGUGGGCACCA
Molecule: transfer RNA, 76 nt
Filed under: Gammaproteobacteria bacterium
Lineage: Bacteria; Pseudomonadati; Pseudomonadota; Gammaproteobacteria
Description: tRNA-Thr
Rfam family: tRNA
About the family: Transfer RNA (tRNA) molecules are approximately 80 nucleotides in length. Their secondary structure includes four short double-helical elements and three loops (D, anti-codon, and T loops). Further hydrogen bonds mediate the characteristic L-shaped molecular structure. tRNAs have two regions of fundamental functional importance: the anti-codon, which is responsible for specific mRNA codon recognition, and the 3' end, to which the tRNAs corresponding amino acid is attached (by aminoacyl-tRNA synthetases). tRNAs cope with the degeneracy of the genetic code in two manners: having more than one tRNA (with a specific anti-codon) for a particular amino acid; and 'wobble' base-pairing, i.e. permitting non-standard base-pairing at the 3rd anti-codon position.
Source: RNAcentral